This 653-nucleotide ribosomal RNA is filed under the name uncultured Bradyrhizobium sp. RNAcentral's name for it is "bacterial SSU rRNA". It matches the Rfam family "Bacterial small subunit ribosomal RNA", at positions 33 to 730 of the family's 1533-position model. The record is from RNAcentral. Lineage: Bacteria; Pseudomonadati; Pseudomonadota; Alphaproteobacteria; Hyphomicrobiales; Nitrobacteraceae.
ACGCUGGCGGCAGGCUUAACACAUGCAAGUCGAGCGGGCGUAGCAAUACGUCAGCGGCAGACGGGUGAGUAACACGUGGGAACGUACCUUUUGGUUCGGAACAACUGAGGGAAACUUCAGCUAAUACCGGAUAAGCCCUAACGGGGAAAGAUUUAUCGCCGAAAGAUCGGCCCGCGUCUGAUUAGCUAGUUGGUGAGGUAAUGGCUCACCAAGGCGACGAUCAGUAGCUGGUCUGAGAGGAUGAUCAGCCACACUGGGACUGAGACACGGCCCAGACUCCUACGGGAGGCAGCAGUGGGGAAUAUUGGACAAUGGGGGCAACCCUGAUCCAGCCAUGCCGCGUGAGUGAUGAAGGCCCUAGGGUUGUAAAGCUCUUUUGUGCGGGAAGAUAAUGACGGUACCGCAAGAAUAAGCCCCGGCUAACUUCGUGCCAGCAGCCGCGGUAAUACGAAGGGGGCUAGCGUUGCUCGGAAUCACUGGGCGUAAAGGGUGCGUAGGCGGGUCUUUAAGUCAGGGGUGAAAUCCUGGAGCUCAACUCCAGAACUGCCUUUGAUACUGAGGAUCUUGAGUCCGGAAGAGGUGAGUGGAACUGCGAGUGUAGAGGUGAAAUUCGUAGAUAUUCGCAAGAACACCAGUGGCGAAGGCGGCUCACU